UUAACUCGUUUGAAGGGGUUGUAGCUGGCCUUCCGAGGCAGGUGCACGCCCUGCUCAUCCACUCUACACCUGUGCACUUACUGUGGGUUUCGAGCGCCGCAUUGGCUUAACAUGCUAUGUGCGGCAACCGGGCCCACGUUUUACUACAAACGCUUCAGUAUCAGAAUGUGUAUCGUGAUGUAACGCAUCUAUAUACAACUUUCAGCAACGGAUCUCUUGGCUCUCGCAUCGAUGAAGAACGCAGCGAAAUGCGAUAAGUAAUGUGAAUUGCAGAAUUCAGUGAAUCAUCGAAUCUUUGAACGCACCUUGCGCUCCUUGGUAUUCCGAGGAGCAUGCCUGUUUGAGUGUCAUGAAAUUCUCAACCUACAAAUCCUUGUGGUUUGUGGGCUUGGACUUGGAGGCUUGCUGGCUUUAUGGUCGGCUCCUCUCAAAUGCAUUAGCUCGAUUCCUUGCGGAUUGGCUCUCGGUGUGAUAAUUGUCUACGCCGUGACCGUGAAGCGUUUGGUGGGCUUACAGCCGUCUCUUCUGAGACACUUCAUUGACAUCUGACCUCAAAUCAGGUAGGAUUACCCGCUGAACUUAAGCAUAUCAAUAAGCCGGAGGACCUGUCC
Molecule: ribosomal RNA, 611 nt
Filed under: Theleporus rimosus
Lineage: Eukaryota; Fungi; Basidiomycota; Agaricomycetes; Polyporales; Polyporaceae
Description: eukaryotic LSU rRNA
Rfam family: 5.8S ribosomal RNA (bases 197-350)
Source: RNAcentral